Molecule: ribosomal RNA, 300 nt
Filed under: uncultured Thermococcus sp.
Lineage: Archaea; Methanobacteriati; Methanobacteriota; Thermococci; Thermococcales; Thermococcaceae
Description: bacterial SSU rRNA
Rfam family: Bacterial small subunit ribosomal RNA (bases 61-300)
Source: RNAcentral
GCGAAGCAGUGGGUAGAGGUGGGGGAAAUAGGUGGGGGGCAGGCGUUGGCCGGGUGGGUGGGGCGGAGAGAGGGGGUAGGCGGCCAAGGAGUACCGCUGUGAAAACGCGGGGCUAAACGUGGGGAGGUCGGUGGAAACCGUGUGGCUAGAGUGCGGAAGAGGGGAGUGGAAUUCCCGGUGUAGCGGUGAAAUGCGCAGAGAUCGGGAAGAACACCCGUGGCGAAGGCGGCUCUCUGGGACGGUACUGACGCUGAGACGCGAAAGCGUGGGGAGCGAACAGGAUUAGAUACCCAGUAGGUC